AUGCCCUCAUUUUUCUAACUAAUCCUUUACAAUUAUAAAAUAGUUCUCCAAUAUCUUCUGAUUAAUAAAAAAAGAAUCAUAGCAAAGACUAGGGAGAUAGAGAAGUCAAGAGUUGUGGAUGAAAUACUAACAAAAAAAGGUUAAGAUAUGUAAAAAUAAGUAUAAAACAUAGAUGGAGUAUUUUAGAAAAUCAAGUCUAGUUAGUUUUUACAGAAGUCAUUGCCACAAUCAUGUAUUAUCCCUGGCUACACCUGGGCUUUUAUCACCAUGCUUUCUCUCUUCCUCAUACGCUCUCAUGCAAGUCCUUCUCUUUGUGUUACCUGAGCCCUCUUUAAUCAUCAAGCUGGAAAACCUUUCUAGUUAUGAUUCAAAAUCUAUAAGCCAUAUAAAAGUAUUGAAUUCAGUGAAGAAAAAAAGAAAAUGAAGAAAAAUCUGCACAACAAAAAAAAGGAAUGUGAAAAGACAAAUGGCAGCA
RNAcentral lists this long non-coding RNA (475 nucleotides) under Bos taurus (domestic cattle). Its description in RNAcentral is "long non-coding RNA NONBTAT020320". The record is from RNAcentral. Lineage: Eukaryota; Metazoa; Chordata; Mammalia; Artiodactyla; Bovidae.